UGCGGAAUAUCAUAAAUAUGUAUUAACUACUACCAUCCGGAUCUGGAGUCGCAAUUCACGAGCAUUCUAGAAUUUAUAACAAGUAAUGGGCUGAAAAAAAUACAACUGUCUGAAUGAAAGAAAACAGUAAGACAUAAAAGAUAGACAGGGACUUCAUGGUCUGUAAACGCCGACAGAUCUACCUUGAGUCUCCGUAUAGUGGACCAGUAGCAAAUCUCGAUCAACCUGAGCCGGUAUCAAAAUCUGCACAGAAAGUGCAGAGUGCAGCAUCAGUACAACCGACCCCAUGUACUGGUAAGUAUCGAGCCUAACCUCGGCGAAGUAGUGACGAGGCUAGGACAAGACACCCACAUAUAACCUGAACAGUAUAAUCAUGCUAGUGGCAACAUCAGUAAAUAAGAAAUAAUGCAGAAAUAAUGGGAGGGGAACAUACAGUGGGAAAAUACAACAUAAGGAGUGAGAAUAAUGAAAAGACAUAAUUAAACCGGAAAUCCUUAAACUAAUUGAGCAAUUAAGACAGCAAGAAAAACUGCACGGUAUCACCCUUCGUGUUUUUACUCUCAACCUCACCAAAUAACAAAUAAGACUGCACGGCAUCACCCUUCGUUCUUUUACUAUCUUCCUCACAAUAUAAAUAAAUUAUGCACGGCAUCACCCUUCUGCUUUACACUCUUCCUCACAAUAUAAUUAAUCUCUCGACUCUACCCUUGCAUCUGUAAGGUAUUCUGUGAUAGUGUUGGGAUACGGAUAUGACGAGUCAUCUUCCCGAGCAAUCACUGAGAUGUUGUCCGACAUCACGGCCCCCACAUUGAUAGGGUGCCUGUCCAUAAUAGAAGCAACCAAAACUUCCCGAGGAAUCGGAAGGUAGGUCUCAUUCUUGGGACAGGUCCAGUCUGCUGCAGACAAACGUUUGCCACCCCUUCGCCUCAAAACUCAGCGUGCUCUAGUGGAUAGGAAUCCCAGCGGUAAUCCAUGUUGGUGGUGGCCCUGGUGCUGCUAGAAUAUCUGCUAACCAUGGCCGGGAUGCAUCUCCCAUCUCAAGCUUCUCCAAAUAUUCCUUUGGCUCAACAUUUUCAAAACCCAAGUAUGUGUUAAGUGUAUGCUGAUCAAAUCUCACUUUGAGGUUGCACACUUUGGUGACCUUUGUCCCCUUUUUGAUAUGCACCACAUUGGCAUAGAAUUCACGGACAAGGUACUCUUUUGUAUCCACGACACCCUGGGAGAACCUCAUCCAACCCUUGCAUUCCUUGAACUGUCUCAACACUGCUGGGUUGUACCUCUCCAAAUCUUUCAGUUGAAACUGUCGCUCAAGAGUAAGCGACCUCACUGGCCACCAUGUACGAAAGUUGGUGAAGGCAGCCAAGCUGACAAACAGAUCCCUUCUUUCACUAUGUUUCUCUAAAAACACUAUGUACGGACCACACAUUUUCAGGUACGGCCGCAGAAGUCAAAAACUACGAACAAUCAAUUUUUCUAUCUAGGUUUUGCAAAAUUUGUGCAAAUUUUGACAUGGCAACAACAUAGAGGUAUGAAAAUAUAUUGACCCAAUCCCCAUAGAGCAUAUAUUAGUUAACCCACUACAGAUUUACCCCACAUGAAUGCACAAUUGAAUUUUAUUGACAAAUGGCCUAAAAACAAAUGACUAAAAGUUUACAAAUUAAAAUAAAAGAUUAACAAGAAAUUUAAGCAUACCAGAUGAAUGAGUGUGAAGAGUGACUAAUCAAAUAUGUUGCGUGUAUGGACAGAUAGAUUCACCAGGAAAUUGCAUGAGGGUAUUGUUUUUGUGCUCAGAGAGGGAAAGAAAAAAAAAUGAACAGUAGCCUCUAUUUAUACUACUUGGUUUUGAUAAGGUAAGGAAGGUCGAGUGCAGACGUACAAUUUCAAUUGCGGUCCGCACUCGGUUACCUGAGUCUUCUAUUUUGAUUCUUUAUCUGCGGUCCGCAAAAUUUUGUGUGCGGCCGCAGGUUUCUUAUUGCGGUCGCACAUACCUUUUCUCUGACAGACUAACUCUC
Molecule: long non-coding RNA, 2012 nt
Filed under: Nicotiana tabacum (common tobacco)
Lineage: Eukaryota; Viridiplantae; Streptophyta; Magnoliopsida; Solanales; Solanaceae
Description: long non-coding RNA (NTAB_LNC016359)
Source: RNAcentral